AUACGGAGGGGGUUAGCGUUGUUCGGAAUUACUGGGCGUAAAGCGCGCGUAGGCGGAUUAGUAAGUUAGAGGUGAAAUCCCAGGGCUCAACCCUGGAACUGCCUUUAAUACUGCUAGUCUUGAGUUCGAGAGAGGUGAGUGGAAUUCCGAGUGUAGAGGUGAAAUUCGUAGAUAUUCGGAGGAACACCAGUGGCGAAGGCGGCUCACUGGCUCGAUACUGACGCUGAGGUGCGAAAGCGUGGGGAGCAAACAGGAUUAGAAACCCCGGUAGUCC
Molecule: ribosomal RNA, 274 nt
Filed under: uncultured bacterium
Lineage: Bacteria
Description: partial 16S ribosomal RNA
Rfam family: Bacterial small subunit ribosomal RNA
Source: RNAcentral